Long non-coding RNA from Oxyura jamaicensis (ruddy duck), 715 nucleotides. RefSeq lists it as uncharacterized. The record is from RefSeq and is a predicted model, not a curated record. NCBI's taxonomy places the organism in Eukaryota, Metazoa, Chordata, Aves, Anseriformes, Anatidae. The transcript has 3 exons.
GAGAAAGUGUUGGAACAUGGAGAUGGAGAAAGCCAUACGUAUAGUGAAAUAUGGUGCUCCAAAUAGAAGAGAAGCCUGUUAAUUUGAAUAUAUCAAUUUCAGAUGCUUACUUAAGAGCUUUAUUUAUUUGCAUAUGGAAGCAUGCUGACUGUGAACAUUUCAAAAUUUUCCUAGAAGACUAUCCUUUCUCUUCGUGCUUUUAGAGGUAUCACUUCAGAUUGCCUAUGCCAGUUCCCUGGGUUAUUACAGUCACAUCUGUGGCAGGACCCUCAUCAGCAGCACCUGGGUGAUGAUCACAGCCCAUUGCCUCAGCAUGUGAGUGGGAUAAAAAGCAUAAAAACUCUUGCUGCAGAUGGGUGCUGGAUCCUUCUCAUCCUCUGAGCUCCCCACUGGUGCCUUCCUCGCACAGCUGGACAUCUCACUGCACACUUCAUCAAGGGAACUGGGAAGCUCUCUUUGCUUUAACCUUGAUUUUCCGUGUAAUUGCUGACUUCCUGGGAGCAGAAAUCAAGCUGAUUGCUGAUUUACAUGAGAGGAGGCACAUUUGCAUUAAUGGGAGCAUUUCAAAUGGGUUUGCAUCCUGAGAAAGCUGCACGGAGAUGGAGAGGAGGAAAGAAGCACGCGUUUCCCACCUUCGCUUUCUUCGCCAUCAAACUGCAGGCAGCAUUUUCCUAAUUCAUAAGACUGGUUUGCUGCAACCCAUUGAAAAUCCUCC